GCACUGGUAGUUCAGCGGUAGAAUUCUCCCCUUUCAUGUGGGAGACCCAGGUUCGAUUCCCAGCCAGUGCG
RNAcentral lists this transfer RNA (71 nucleotides) under Loxodonta africana (African savanna elephant). It matches the Rfam family "tRNA". Rfam says of the family: Transfer RNA (tRNA) molecules are approximately 80 nucleotides in length. Lineage: Eukaryota; Metazoa; Chordata; Mammalia; Proboscidea; Elephantidae. The record is from Rfam by way of RNAcentral.